This 460-nucleotide ribosomal RNA is filed under the name uncultured bacterium. Its description in RNAcentral is "bacterial SSU rRNA". It matches the Rfam family "Bacterial small subunit ribosomal RNA", at positions 28 to 507 of the family's 1533-position model. The record is from RNAcentral.
GAUGAACGUUGGCGGCGUGCCUAAUACAUGCAAGUCGAACGGAGAUUGUAGCAAUACGGUCUCAGUGGCGAACGGGUGAGUAACGCGUUGGUGACCUGCCCCGAAGUGUGGAAUAACAGAUCGAAAGAGCUGCUAAUACCGCAUAAUAUCCAGAGGACUAGAUGCCUUUGGAUUAAAGGAUUUAUUCGCUUCGGGAGGGGCCUGCGUCCCAUCAGCUAGUUGGUAAGGUAAUGGCUUACCAAGGCGAUGACGGGUAGGGGACCUGAGAGGGUGGCCCCCCACAAUGGAACUGAAACACGGUCCAUACACCUACGGGUGGCAGCAGUAGGGAAUAUUAGUAAUGGGCGAAAGCCUGAACUAGCAACGCCGCGUGUGCGAAGAAGGCCUUCGGGUUGUAAAGCACUUUUUGAGAGGAUGAGGAAGGACGGUACUCUCAGAAUAAGUCUCGGCUAACUACGUG